UCGGGAGUUCGAGUCCUUCGGGAAGAACAACAACUCCGUUUCAGUGUUGUUGCGGUUUUGAUAUUGUGUACAUUAGAUUAAGAAAAUGGUGAAGGAAGUGGUUCAGUAGUGGCAUCUGUACCGUUGAAUUUACUAAAGGCUUGUGUGAAGGAUGGUCUGCUUACAGUCGUGGGGACUCGACCAGAUUUUCGUGAAAUGUACACCGCACUGAAGCAAACUACGCUUGAGGAAUAUCUGAAGUAAAAAUCUCAAGUAAAGUAAACUAGAGCUACACUGAAAUGGACUUCUUUCCUUCCCACGUUUGGCAUAAUAGAAACGAGGAUUUUUACUGGAACAGUGGUGAGACAGUGCGACCUACUAUCUAUACAAGAAUGACCACCCGUGUUUUAUGCUUUAAUUCUACAGUAUUUAAAUGAAGUGAGAAAGGAGUCUGGUCGUGCUGCUGUAGUUCAUUUUAUGCCAUAAAUUUCAUACAUGGAAUGAUCAAAGGUUUACUCGACUCGAGGAAUACUAUAUUAAAUAAUGUACAUGUGAAUAUGUAUGUUCUUAAAUUUACCUAUAUUAGCUAUUGCCAAUUGUGAAGCUUUCUCGUCAUAAAUUCUGGAUGACUAUAGUAAGAAUGAGCUGGUUACUUAACCAGUUAGUACCUUUAGAAUCUCCGUGUUUAAAAUCCCCAUGGCUUUAAAACGCUUGAGAAUUUAUCUACAUUGUCUUUUUGAAUUACAAAAAGACAGAUCAUGUGUACCAUUACUUAUGUUUCACUCAUUUAAUAUAAAGUAGUA
Long non-coding RNA from Macrobrachium nipponense, 782 nucleotides. RefSeq lists it as uncharacterized. The record is from RefSeq and is a predicted model, not a curated record. The transcript has 3 exons. Lineage: Eukaryota; Metazoa; Arthropoda; Malacostraca; Decapoda; Palaemonidae.